UUGGUGCUCUUGUUUGCACUGCUACUGUUGCUAGGAAGCUUGUGGACGAGAAGGGUAAUUCUUUUCAAGAUGAAAAGAACUUAUUUCACCACCGCCCUAGACUUGGUGGUGGAGGUGGUGGCGGGUUUGGAGGUGGAGGUGGUGGUGGGUUAGGUGGUGGUGCUGGAGGUGGAGCAGGAUUUGGUGGUGGUGCUGGGGGUGGAGUUGGUGGUGGACUUGGAGGAGGUGCUGGUGGUGGUGGAGGGUUUGGAGGUGGGGGUGGUGGAGGAGUGGGUGGUGGAGGUGCUGGUUUUGGAGGGGGAGCUGGGUUUGGUGGCGGAGCUGGUGCU
Molecule: unclassified non-coding RNA, 329 nt
Filed under: Hevea brasiliensis (rubber tree)
Lineage: Eukaryota; Viridiplantae; Streptophyta; Magnoliopsida; Malpighiales; Euphorbiaceae
Source: RNAcentral